RNAcentral lists this ribosomal RNA (405 nucleotides) under uncultured Eubacteriales bacterium. Its description in RNAcentral is "uncultured Clostridiales bacterium partial 16S ribosomal RNA". It matches the Rfam family "Bacterial small subunit ribosomal RNA", at positions 355 to 774 of the family's 1533-position model. Lineage: Bacteria; Bacillati; Bacillota; Clostridia; Eubacteriales. The record is from RNAcentral.
UGGGGAAUAUUGCACAAUGGGCGCAAGCCUGAUGCAGCAACGCCGCGUGAAGGAAGAAGGGUUUCGGCUCGUAAACUUCUUUAGGCAGGGACGAAGAAAGUGACGGUACCUGCAGAAUAAGCCCCGGCUAACUACGUGCCAGCAGCCGCGGUAAUACGUAGGGGGCGAGCGUUAUCCGGAAUUACUGGGUGUAAAGGGUGAGUAGGCGGUUUCGUAAGUCAUAUGUGAAAUCCCUGGGCUUAACCCAGGGACUGCAUAAGAAACUAUGGGACUAGAGUACAGGAGAGGUAAGCGGAAUUCCUAGUGUAGCGGUGAAAUGCGUAGAUAUUAGGAAGAACACCAGUGGCGAAGGCGGCUUACUGGACUGAAACUGACGCUGAGUCACGAAAGCGUGGGGAGCGAACA